Dendrobium catenatum is the source of this 1033-nucleotide long non-coding RNA. RefSeq lists it as uncharacterized. The record is from RefSeq and is a predicted model, not a curated record. The transcript is spliced from 2 exons. Lineage: Eukaryota; Viridiplantae; Streptophyta; Magnoliopsida; Asparagales; Orchidaceae.
UUUUAAAAUCGGACCGGACCGGUCGGUUCAACCGGUUGAACCGCGAACCGGUCGGCCGGCCGGUUACGGUUCAGACCAAAACCGGUAAAUCAUAAAACCGGCAUCCACCCGCCCGAACCGGGGGUUCAACCGCCGAACCGGUCCCGGUUUCUGCUAACCGGCCGGUUCAGCAAACGCGCCAUUUUGGCGAAAAUGAUAAAUCUGACGGCUGAGAUGCGAUGAUGAUGCUUCUUUAUGCGAAAAAAAACCCUAAUUCAUUUCUGUCGCGUCGCGUGCUUCGUUUCCUCUGUUCGCUUUUCCUUCUUUCUCUCGUGUGAUUCGAACGAACGAAGAGUCGAAGACGGAGCCGGGAGAGAAUAAAGACCUCUUCUUUUGUGCGCACGUCAUUUGCAGGUGAGUUUUUUUUUUAAUCAGUUUCAUUCGCGAUUUGCAGCAAACGAAGGUUCGAGAGCUGAGAUUUUUUCUUCUUCUCUUAUGUUUUCCUAGUUAGCAAGAAGACCUAAUAGCUACAGGUUUUCUUUCUUCUCUAAUUAAAUGGUUACAACUUGCUUUAAGUCAUAAGUUGAUUAGUUACAGGCUAAAGAGGUAACCAAGGUUUUCUACAGAUUUUUUUAAUCGGUUUCAUUCGCCAUUUGCUUUGCUGUUUGCUUUCCUUUGUUAUUACUGAAUGUUGCGGUUUGCUGUUUGCUUUCCAAAAAUUGAAUCAGUUUGCUGCAGUUUCCUGUUUGGUUUACUUUAUUCUUUUUGCAUUUGUAUAUUAAUAUGUUUAUGAAUCAAACCAGGCAUCUAAUUCCAAGGUAAAAUUUGCAUUUUUUACAAUCUUAGUUUAAUUAUAGCUGAACAAGAUAGCAAUAUGUGCAUAGUUCCUCUUAAAUCUGAAUGUUUAUCUUGAUUAGGUGCAACAAGGUUAGGUUUAGAGUGAAUGUAAUAGAAGAAAACUUCUCAUUUAUUUUUAAAUUUUUAAUAAUAUUAUUAUUUAUUAUGUUAACCGGUUCGACCGGUUCGACCCCGGUUCGACCGGUCGACCCGUGAA